GAUGAACGCUGGCGGCGUGCCUAAUACAUGCAAGUCGAGCGAACAGACGAGGAGCUUGCUUCUCUGACGUUAGCGGCGGACGGGUGAGUAACACGUGGAUAACCUACCUAUAAGACUGGGAUAACUUCGGGAAACCGGAGCUAAUACCGGAUAAUAUGUUGAACCGCAUGGUUCAACAGUGAAAGACGGUCUUGCUGUCACUUAUAGAUGGAUCCGCGCUGCAUUAGCUAGUUGGUAAGGUAACGGCUUACCAAGGCAACGAUGCAUAGCCGACCUGAGAGGGUGAUCGGCCACACUGGAACUGAGACACGGUCCAGACUCCUACGGGAGGCAGCAGUAGGGAAUCUUCCGCAAUGGGCGAAAGCCUGACGGAGCAACGCCGCGUGAGUGAUGAAGGUCUUCGGAUCGUAAAACUCUGUUAUUAGGGAAGAACAUAUGUGUAAGUAACUGUGCACAUCUUGACGGUACCUAAUCAGAGAGCCACGGCUAACUACGUG
Molecule: ribosomal RNA, 497 nt
Filed under: uncultured bacterium
Lineage: Bacteria
Description: partial 16S ribosomal RNA
Rfam family: Bacterial small subunit ribosomal RNA
Source: RNAcentral